This is a long non-coding RNA of Bufo bufo (common toad), 1789 nucleotides long. RefSeq lists it as uncharacterized. The transcript has 2 exons. Lineage: Eukaryota; Metazoa; Chordata; Amphibia; Anura; Bufonidae. The record is from RefSeq and is a predicted model, not a curated record.
CGUCUGUGCCGUUCCACAAAUUGCAGAAGGCACACGGGCGGCAUCCGUAUUUUGCGAUCCGCAAUUUGCAGAUCGCAAAACACGGCAUGGUCGUGUGAAUGAGCCCAAAGGCUAAUGGUUCGAAGCUACAACGUACUGUGUUAUUGACCAUCAUAAAGUUGACUUUCAAGAGUUAUCACAGAUGAUGCCAGGGGAGAGAAGGGUCAGACAAAGUGGAUAUUUUUUCUAGAUCCUUUUGUUCUCCUCCCUCCCCAAUGAGUACACAUACCCUUUUGGCCCAACUGUGAAGGAGUCUGGAGAGAUGGCUGUUAUUUGGCCGACCGUUAUUAAAUAUUUACGGCUGCUCUUACUGACCUCUCCAAAAAUCUUAUCUUUUUGUGAUUUAUUGUGGUAUUUAUUUAAAGGGUAUGUCCACAAUUGCAACAAUUUUUUUUCUUUACUUCCAUGCAUGUUAAAUAAAAAUUUUAACGAUUUUGCAAAUGGUGUUGAUUUUAAAAUAAAAUAAAUCACAUGCUGAAUGAUGACUCCAUAGUUAGACUACAAACAAACUCUGUGUUGUCUGACCCUGAAGUCAUCUUCUUAGUUAUAUGUAGUGUACUAUAUGUAAUAUAUACAUAUGAUAAUAAGGAUGACUACAGGCUUCAGAUGACACAGGGAUUGUUUGUAGCCUGCAACCAUAAUCUCUUUAUAAUUCUUGUCUGUGACCAUAGAGACCCAUAGAAGCUGUAAGCACAAAAUGGUAGGAUAUUUUAUUUUUUUAAUCAAGUCGAUUUGCAAACUUUGUUAAUUUUCUGCUUAAGGUGCAUUGGAACAUUUCAGAAUUGGUUGUAGUUGUAUAUAGCCUUUAACUUUUUUCAGUCGAUUUUUAUAUUGACACUUCACUCAACAGAAAAUCCAUUUGUAUGCAAUAUAUUGUUCAAUGGUAUAAUAUGUGCUUGUUACUGUCAAUCGAUCAGUAUUACUCCACAAAAAUAAGAAUUAUGUUUUCCUGGAUAAUUUCCAAUUGUUGAUGGUUAUGCUAGACCUAACGUAAAGUCAUAUGCAUUUUGUUUGAUAAUUGCCUUUGCAUGUGGUUUACGGGAUGAAUGAGAAAAAUCACAUGCAACUGUGGUUUUCAUGUAAAUUGCAGCUGAUUUUGUGUUACCCUCAUAUUAAAGUUGUGUUUUUUAAAGGGGGUUCUCUGUCCACCAGCAUCCUGUCCUAGAAUGAGUGCAGGACUGGUUGCUGCCACUUGCAUAACUGUCUAGUGGGGUGAGGGGACUCACUGCACACUAUAGUGCCCUACAAUAGAUGGUAAUGAUGUGAUCCUGCCUAUGAUAUGCCAUUAUGGCUGAGCAGCCUGACGGGAAACCUCACCAAUAUGUAGUACAUACAAGUUCCAGAGUGUAUAGUGAGUAGCGAGGCUUUUCUUUCUAGGCAAAGUGGUAACAACCAAAUCUUACAUUCUAGGACAAGUUGCUGGUAGCUAUGUAAAAGUGUUCUUAAAUAACCCCUUUAAGACACAAAAACAAUAUUAUUUGACUGCUGAAAUGGUCCAUCCAUAUUUUUUCAUCCUUAGUUUUAUAACAGGGUUGUGUUUUAUGUUCUGUUUUUUUUUUUCUUUUCUUUUUAGAAUAUAAUUUAGCCUGUUUUUUGUUUGCUGAGAUUUUUAUGUUUUUUUCUAGUUUGGUCUAUACGUAUAUAUUCAAACUGUGAUUCCUAUUUCAUGUUUUCUUUUUAUUUUCUUUUAAUUGUAUUUUUUAGUUUUCUGUAUUUAUUUUUAAGGUUCUACUAUUCACAUGAAAAAAAA